CAGUCGCCGCGGGAAUACGUAGGUGGCAAGCGUUGUCCGGAAUUAUUGGGCGUAAAGCGCGCGCAGGUGGUUUAAUAAGUCUGAUGUGAAAGCCCACGGCUCAACCGUGGAGGGUCAUUGGAAACUGUUAGACUUGAGUGCAGGAGAGAAAAGUGGAAUUCCUAGUGUAGCGGUGAAAUGCGUAGAGAUUAGGAGGAACACCAGUGGCGAAGGCGGCUUUUUGGCCUGUAACUGGCACUGAGGCGCGAAAGCGUGGGGAGCAAACAGGAUUAGAUACCCCGGUAGUCCCUGUCUCUUAUAC
Molecule: ribosomal RNA, 301 nt
Filed under: uncultured bacterium
Lineage: Bacteria
Description: partial 16S ribosomal RNA
Rfam family: Bacterial small subunit ribosomal RNA
Source: RNAcentral